AGAAAUGUACAAAGGACUGAUAUGUGUCAUCUAUAGCAUGUCCCCUUUGUCUGAAUGUUCAACUAGAAGAGUUUCAUCUCAUUUGGCAAGGAGCACUGCAAUAAUACAUGCAACUCUUCACAGCUACUAACAUGAAGUUGCACUCAGGCUCUCGCAUGGACUAAAGAGUUAUUGUCAGUAUGUAUCACUGUUUAAUUUUUACAGUCUAUAGGUUUAUUUAUAUGGCAAGUAUUGAUCUCAAGGACAAUAUUGUUGUAACUACUGUCACCCAUUCAAAAAUUUCUUUAGAAGGACCAACAACAGGUAUUUUGCUGACCUGGACAUUGAAAUAAUGAGCACAAAAGGUUUAGGGCAUAUGCGAAUAAUUGAAGUUUUAUAUUUGCGCACAAGGGAGAAAUGCCUAAAUUAGAAGGAAGAGUAAAAUUUAAUACUCUGUUGUUGCAGUGUGGCUUUUGGGAAUCCUUAGCAAGAUUCUCCCAGAGGUGAAGCUUAGACACCACCAUGGAUUUGUCUGGCUAUGAAUCAUGGUCAUGAAAUACGUUCAUGUUGUUCUCUUUCCAGAUGCUUUAGAACAGACAAGCGAUGAUGCUGGAAUUUCUCGAUUCCGUUUUAUGUUAUAGUUCAUACUACAACACACAUAUACUGCAGCCUCUUAAAUUAUAAAAUUAUUGUCUCUUAGAUUAUAAAAUUUCAUGAUAUCAAAUUGUACGUACUAGAAAUUUUCUCCUUUUUACUGCCUGCUUGAUUGUAUAUAUAGAAUAACUAGAUAAUGAUGCUCCAUGCAUUACUAGAGCUGUUGAUAGCUUGUCCACCUAGAUUAUUUUACACUCCCUUCUUAGGAGAAUUUAGAUUUAAUAUUUAGGUGCAACGCAUGUACUACGAAGCGAGAUAUUUAGUUUGUUUUUCUUUGGUAAACCAUACUCUCGACAUUCCAAAACCUCUACUACUAAAGGUAUAAUUUGAUUAUUUAACUUCAUACUUUGACCAUAAAUCUCUGGAAAAAAAAGUUAAUUGAUGGUUAAAAGUCAUUUGCUACUGCACUGGACUAUGAGCUUGAAAAAAGAGUACCUACCUAAUACCUAGAGAGGUGGCUAAUCCUUCCAGUGACCUAUAUAUGUAAGUAUGUAAGUUAGGCUCGAUUCCAAGUUAGCCUAUACUAUUUGUGUCAAUUUAGUUUAUCCUGUUACCACUUGCAAAUAUACUAUAAUAUAAUAGAACUCCAAUAGUUGUCUUCAAUAGAGAGGGAAUAAAUCUCUAACGAAUAUUUUGGUACAUUCAUGCUACGUAUCUUUUGCAUUUAAAAUAGAACAUGCAAUAGGCAGUCAUAGCAAAUCUAUAUACUGCAUAAACCUUUACUUGAAAGGAUUAAAUCACAUAACUUGUCCCGUCCAUUAUAAUUGAUGAUGUCUAUACAGUCAACACAACAAACAAAUAUUAGGCCAAAUGACCACACACAGAACCAAGAAAAAUCUUAGUUCCAUAUGAAGCUGCCUAACAGUAUCCAUAACAUACAUCGACUAAUAAAGCUCCAGCCUGCUUCAGUUUAAUAGUAGAGCGCGUUCAGGAAUCAAAAUCAUGCAAAUUGGUUAUUUAUUAUAGUUGGAAAAGAACUAUUGUUAAAGCAGAGUCUACGGUUAAUAAGUUCAUAAGUCUUAGCCGCUUCUUUUUGGCGUAUUGAAUGUGCAGGAAUUGAUACAAUAAAAUUUCAAUAAGAUGUCAUCAUUAUAUCCAUUGUCAAUUUAGCUGAACAUUUUUUUAGAAAAAAUUCUACGAAACUUGUAAGGUAUCAUGUUGACCAUCUGCGAGGAAUAGUUAAUGACCCUUUGACCCAAUACACUUCGAUCAUUGAUCAAUUUCUACAUGUCAGUUGUCUUGUGACACGGAUCACUUGUUCCUGGAACUUCC
RNAcentral lists this long non-coding RNA (1905 nucleotides) under Triticum aestivum (bread wheat). Its description in RNAcentral is "long non-coding RNA (TAES_LNC007445)". The record is from RNAcentral. Lineage: Eukaryota; Viridiplantae; Streptophyta; Magnoliopsida; Poales; Poaceae.